RNAcentral lists this ribosomal RNA (460 nucleotides) under uncultured bacterium. RNAcentral describes it as "partial 16S ribosomal RNA". It matches the Rfam family "Bacterial small subunit ribosomal RNA", at positions 338 to 795 of the family's 1533-position model. The record is from RNAcentral.
CCUACGGGAGGCAGCAGUGAGGAAUAUUGGUCAAUGGGCGCGAGCCUGAACCAGCCAAGUAGCGUGAAGGAUGACUGCCCUAUGGGUUGUAAACUUCUUUUAUAAAGGAAUAAAGUGAGGCACGUGUGCCGUUUUGUAUGUACUUUAUGAAUAAGCAUCGGCUAACUCCGUGCCAGCAGCCGCGGUAAUACGGAGGAUCCGAGCGUUAUCCGGAUUUAAUGGGUUUAAAGGGAGCGUAGAUGGUUUGUUAAGUAAGUUGUGAAAGUUUGCGGCUCAACCGUAAAAUUGCAAUUGAUACUGGCAGUCUUGAGUACAGUUGAGGUACGCGGAAUUCGCGGUGUAGCGGUGAAAUGCAUAGAUAUCACGAAGAACUCCGAUUGCGAAGGCAGUUUACUAAACUGCCACUGACAUUGAGGCUCGAAAGUGUGGGUAUCAAACAGGAUUAGAUACCCUUGUAGUC